This 549-nucleotide ribosomal RNA is filed under the name Pseudomugil signifer (Pacific blue-eye). Its description in RNAcentral is "partial 16S large subunit ribosomal RNA". It matches the Rfam family "Bacterial large subunit ribosomal RNA", at positions 1846 to 2591 of the family's 2925-position model. The record is from RNAcentral. Lineage: Eukaryota; Metazoa; Chordata; Actinopteri; Atheriniformes; Pseudomugilidae.
UAAGAGGUCCCGCCUGCCCUGUGACCUGCGGGUUUAACGGCCGCGGUACUCUGACCGUGCGAAGGUAGCGCAAUUACUUGUCUUUUAAAUGGAGACCCGUAUGAAUGGCACGACGAGGGCUUAACUGUCUCCUUUCUUCAGUCGAUGAAAUUGAUCUCCCCGUGCAGAAGCGGGGAUAACCACAUAAGACGAGAAGACCCUAUGGAGCUUUAGACAAAAGAGCAGCUCCGUCUAUUAACCACUCAUGUUAAAGAACAAAUAUAGCUUAACCCUGCCCUAAUGUCUUUGGUUGGGGCGACCGCGGGGAAACAAAAAACCCCCAUGUGGAACGGGAGUACCCCUCCUACAACCAAGAGCGACAGCUCUAAGUAGCAGAAAUUCUGGCCGAAAAGAUCCGGCAGUGCCGAUCAACGAAACGAGUUACCCUAGGGAUAACAGCGCAAUCCCCUUCUAGAGCCCAUAUCGACAAGGGGGUUUACGACCUCGAUGUUGGAUCAGGACAUCCUAAUGGUGCAGCCGCUUUUAAGGGUUCGUUUGUUCAACGAUUAA